This 1331-nucleotide long non-coding RNA is filed under the name Homo sapiens (human). RNAcentral describes it as "HSALNT0336916". Lineage: Eukaryota; Metazoa; Chordata; Mammalia; Primates; Hominidae. The record is from RNAcentral.
GCUGGAAAUACAGCUGAGAGCCUCUGUUGACAGAUGGAUGCCUUCUUAAUCACAGCCUGUGUGGGUAAAGGGAAAGCCUUGCCUGGCCAACCCCUCCCACUCCCACCCCCACCUCCUGCAUUGAUUCACAAACCUGGACUGCUCUGGAGGAGGCUGGGAAAGUCCAUCCCCAGGGAAUACCACUUUUUUCCUCUUCUGUGCCUCUCACAGGACACCCACAUGACUAGGAGGAGGCAGAAAGUGAAUAGGGAGCUCUUAUUACUUUUUGAGUGUCAGCAAGUUAAGACAUCAUCUCCAGAAAACUGUGCUAGUUGGCAUCCAGCAGUGCCCAAGUAUUAUUUAACCCACUAGAACCUGUGACUGCAUCAGCUUUAUAUCCUGGACCUCAGCCUGGAACAAAGGAGAGCUACACUUGGAUACUAAACACAAGUGGUCUGGAUAGAUUAUGCUGGGAAAAGAAGCCUGGAGCAGGCAGUACAGUGGGAGAACAAGGAGAGAAUGGAGUUGCAGCAGACUGCUCAGGAAUUGUACAUCACCAGUAGCUUCUGUCUCAGCUAAGUGUGGGAGACUGAUACUGAUGAGCCAUUAACAAUGGUGGAGAUUCUGAAUCACUGAAGCACUUGAUAAAAGAAAUGUCGUGGGUGAUGUGAAAAUCUACAUAUGCCCAUGAGAGUAUAUUGAGUUUGUAAGUGUUGUUGCUUAGUGUGUCACAGAGAAGUUUAUAAGAAACUAUUUUGGAGUAAGAAACAACACAGAAGAACACAGUUUCAGCCUGAAAUGGCUUAUUUAGCCACUGACCAUCAGAAACAAUUACUUUUUACCUUAACCUAGAUUUGUAAUAGCAGGAUGCAUUGAAUUCCUUCAUUGAAGUGAAACCUUAGCAAAUCUUUAAGUAGUACUCUAAAGUGACAAAAGGUGUUUACAUUUACUAAUGUAAAUUUCUUGUGGAGAUAAAGUUUUUAUUCUUCUUGGGUCUCAAGACUGCUCAAGAAGGAACCAUCGUUUGUUCUACACUGCUCUGUUCUAAAUGUUUGUUCCCCCAAUAUUCAUAUGUUGAAAUUCUAACCCCCAAGGAGAUAGUAUUAGGAGGUGGGGCCUUCGGGACAUGAUAAGGUCAUGAGGAUGAAGCCCUCAAGAAUAAGAUUCAUUGCCUUAUAAAGAAAAACCAGAAAGAUCCCUCAUUUCUUCAAUCAUAAGAAGACACAUGAGCAAGAAGACGGCCAGCUAUGAAGCAGGUCGUGGGCCCUCGCCAGACACUGAAUCUGCCAACACUUUGAUCUUGGAUUUCCUAGCCUGCAGAACUGUGAGAAAUAAAUUUCUUUUCUUUAUAA